Molecule: non-coding RNA, 120 nt
Organism: Glycine soja
Lineage: Eukaryota; Viridiplantae; Streptophyta; Magnoliopsida; Fabales; Fabaceae
Source: Rfam
UUAGCAAGUGACAUUGACUGCCAAGUGUCAUGUUCUGAUUGGAUAUCAAUUCCAUGAAAGAUGAAAUACAUUGUUGCUUUCAUUGACCAAUCAAAACAUGACACGUGGUCGUCAUCAUCU